CCUACGGGAGGCAGCAGUGAGGAAUAUUGGUCAAUGGACGAGAGUCUGAACCAGCCAAGUAGCGUGAAGGAUGACUGCCCUAUGGGUUGUAAACUUCUUUUAUAUGGGAAUAAAAUGUUCCACGUGUGUGAUUUUGUAUGUACCAUAUGAAUAAGGAUCGGCUAGCUCCGUGCCAGCAGCCGCGGUAAUACGGAGGAUUCGAGCGUUAUCCGGAUUUAUUGGGUUUAAAGGGAACGUAGGUGGAUUGUUAAGUCAGUUGUGAAAGUUUGCGGCUCAACCGUAAAAUUGCAGUUGAAACUGGCAGUCUUGAGUACAGUAGAGGUGGGCGGAAUUCGUGGUGUAGCGGUGAAAUGCUUAGAUAUCACGAAGAACUCCGAUUGCGAAGGCAGUUCACUGGACUGCAACUGACACUGAGGCUCGAAAGUGUGGGUAUCAAACAGGAUUAGAUACCCUGUC
RNAcentral lists this ribosomal RNA (456 nucleotides) under uncultured bacterium. RNAcentral describes it as "partial 16S ribosomal RNA". It matches the Rfam family "Bacterial small subunit ribosomal RNA", at positions 338 to 791 of the family's 1533-position model. The record is from RNAcentral.